This 551-nucleotide ribosomal RNA is filed under the name uncultured marine bacterium. RNAcentral describes it as "bacterial SSU rRNA". It matches the Rfam family "Bacterial small subunit ribosomal RNA", at positions 373 to 916 of the family's 1533-position model. The record is from RNAcentral.
GGGCGAAAGCCUGAUGCCAGCAAUGCCGCGUGAGUGAAGAAGGCCUUCGGGUUGUAAAGCUCUUUUGUCAGGGAAGAAACGGUGAGGGCUAAUAUCUCUUGCUAAUGACGGUACCUGAAGAAUAAGCACCGGCUAACUAUGUGCCAGCAGCCGCGGUAAUACGUAGGGUGCAAGCGUUAAUCGGAAUUACUGGGCGUAAAGCGUGCGCAGGCGGUUAUGUAAGUCAGAGGUGAAAUCCCGGGGCUCAACCCCGGAACUGCCUUUGAUACUGGUAGUCUUGAGUUCGAGAGAGGUAAGUGGAAUUCCGAGUGUAGAGGUGAAAUUCGUAGAUAUUCGGAGGAACACCAGUGGCGAAGGCGGCUUACUGGCUCGAUACUGACGCUGAGGUGCGAAAGUGUGGGGAGCAAACAGGAUUAGAUACCCUGGUAGUCCACACCGUAAACGAUGAAUGCCAGUCGUCGGGUAGCAUGCUAUUCGGUGACACACCUAACGGAUUAAGCAUUCCGCCUGGGGAGUACGGUCGCAAGAUUAAAACUCAAAUGAAUUGACGG